AGAGAGUGAUGCAGCCAAGGAUGACUUGCCGGCGUUAUUAUUUGCUCAUGUUCAUGCUCACCGGUUUCCUUGCCGGCAAGUUGUGUUUGGCUAUGUUUUGCUCUCU
Molecule: non-coding RNA, 106 nt
Organism: Glycine max (soybean)
Lineage: Eukaryota; Viridiplantae; Streptophyta; Magnoliopsida; Fabales; Fabaceae
Source: Rfam